This is a long non-coding RNA of Oryza sativa Japonica Group (Japanese rice), 807 nucleotides long. RefSeq lists it as uncharacterized. The record is from RefSeq and is a predicted model, not a curated record. Lineage: Eukaryota; Viridiplantae; Streptophyta; Magnoliopsida; Poales; Poaceae.
CGGGAGGCGGCGACGCCCUCCCCUCCGCCGGAUCCGGCAGGAGGGGAGGCAGGAGGUGGCGGGCGACGGGUUGCGGCAGCGCCCUCCGCUCCCUCAGAUCUGGCCAGCCGUCGUCGCCACUUGCCGCUGCCGUCCGCCACCCUCCAGCGCUACCGUCCGCUGCCACCGCCCACCGCCCACCGCUACCGUCUGCUUGGAGCGCCAUCGCCUGGAUCUGCGUCGCCGCUCCCUCCGUCCUCCUUCACCGCCGCCGCUCCCUCCAGCGCCCGCUCGCCCGCCAGCCAACGCCGACGCCGUUGGGCCCGUUGCCAAGAGUCCUCCACCGCCGUUGCCCUCCGACGCCGUCCUCCUCCCACUGUCCACCCUCCCUCCUGGUCACCAACACCGUCGUGUUCUUCUGCGUCGACUCCGGUCACCAACACAAGAUUAAUUGGGGAGCCGCUCUUUGAUCAUUUGAUAUGUGUGUGUUUUGAAAUGGGGAAAUUUUGGUAAAUUCUUGUUCUGAAAUGUAUGCUGAACUUGAUCUUUUCAGGAAAGAUUAAUUGUAAAUUAUGAGUUGUUGUGUUGAUGGAUAGGAGUAGCAGAAGAUGAGUUGUGAAUAUCCUAUUAGUAUUAAUAGAAAUGAGUCACUGGAGAGGAGGGGUUAAAAUGCUUUUGUGUAGCUUUGGGAAAGUUAAUAUAGAACUUGAUGCAAUCUGAAAUCUGAACUUGAUGGUGCAGUUUUGUAUAUGCCAUGAACCUGUGUAUUCCAUGAAUUUGAAACAAUAUGAGGAUGCUAGAAUGCAGUAAACCUGGAAAUUUUCUUUU